Molecule: ribosomal RNA, 1019 nt
Filed under: unidentified
Also listed under: 1 other name
Description: bacterial SSU rRNA
Rfam family: Bacterial small subunit ribosomal RNA
Source: RNAcentral
UGGGGAAUAUUGCGCAAUGGGGGAAACCCUGACGCAGCGACGCCGCGUGCGGGAUGAAGGCCUUCGGGUUGUAAACCGCUUUUGAUUGGGAGCAAGCCUUUUGGGUGAGUGUACCUUUCGAAUAAGCGCCGGCUAACUACGUGCCAGCAGCCGCGGUAAUACGUAGGGCGCAAGCGUUAUCCGGAAUUAUUGGGCGUAAAGAGCUUGUAGGCGGUUCGUCGCGUCUGGUGUGAAAGCCCAUCGCUUAACGGUGGGUCUGCGCCGGGUACGGGCGGGCUAGAGUGCAGUAGGGGAGACUGGAAUUCCCGGUGUAACGGUGGAAUGUGUAGAUAUCGGGAAGAACACCAAUGGCGAAGGCAGGUCUCUGGGCUGUUACUGACGCUGAGAAGCGAAAGCGUGGGGAGCGAACAGGAUUAGAUACCCUGGUAGUCCACGCCGUAAACGGUGGACGCUGGAUGUGGGGCCCAUUCCACGGGUUCCGUGUCGGAGCUAACGCGUUAAGCGUCCCGCCUGGGGAGUACGGCCGCAAGGCUAAAACUCAAAGAAAUUGACGGGGGCCCGCACAAGCGGCGGAGCAUGCGGAUUAAUUCGAUGCAACGCGAAGAACCUUACCUGGGCUUGACAUGUGCCUGACAGCUGCAGAGAUGUGGUUUCCCUUCGGGGCAGGUUCACAGGUGGUGCAUGGUCGUCGUCAGCUCGUGUCGUGAGAUGUUGGGUUAAGUCCCGCAACGAGCGCAACCCUCGCCCUGUGUUGCCAGCGGGUUAUGCCGGGAACUCAUGGGGGACCGCCGGGGUUAACUCGGAGGAAGGUGGGGAUGACGUCAGAUCAUCAUGCCCCUUACGUCCAGGGCUUCACGCAUGCUACAAUGGCCGGUACAACGGGAUGCGACAUGGUGACAUGGAGCGGAUCCCUUAAAACCGGUCUCAGUUCGGAUCGUAGUCUGCAACUCGACUACGUGAAGGCGGAGUCGCUAGUAAUCGCGAAUCAGCAACGUCGCGGUGAAUGCGUUCCCGGGCCU